Molecule: ribosomal RNA, 278 nt
Filed under: uncultured bacterium
Lineage: Bacteria
Description: partial 16S ribosomal RNA
Rfam family: Bacterial small subunit ribosomal RNA
Source: RNAcentral
UGCCAGCAGCCGCGGUAAUACGGAGGGUCCAAGCGUUAUCCGGAUUUAUUGGGUUUAAAGGGUGCGCAGGCGGAACUUUAAUCAGUGGUGAAAUCUUGCCGCUUAACGGUAAAAUUGCCAUUGAUACUGAAGUUCUUGAAUGUAGUUGAGGUAGGCGGAAUGUGUUGUGUAGCGGCGAAAUGCAUAGAUAUGACACAGAACGCCAAUUGCGAAGGCAGCUUACUAAGCUACGAUUGACGCUGAGGCAAGAAAGCGUGGCGAGCGAAAAGGACUAGAUA